UAUUCUUUAAUACAUUCAUUCAUUCAUGUAUUUAUUCUUUAAUACAUUCAUUCAUUCAUUUAUUUAUUUUUUUAUUUUAUUUCAUUUUCAGGACACAUUUCCAUAGAGCCUUAUUAAGUGUUAAGUUAACUCACUUUACUUUGGUGUUUGCACUAAUUAUGUUUACACUUUCUAUUUUUAAUGCGGUCUAUACAGUAAUAACAUCUGCUAAAAAGAAAAGAAGAGAAUCUGAAUUACAAUUAUUAGUUUUUGUUGUGUUCAAUCUUGUACAAUAUUAUUUCUACACUUCAACAUUAACAUUCAGAAAUGAACCUUUGUGUGCCUUAAUAAUAGCUUUAUACUCAUCCUUUUAUACAUGCCACAUGAAUCUUGCUACAAUUUUAAAGAUAAAAAUGAAUUACCUUCCAAUACCUAUAAUAGCUUAUUAUGUUUUUAAUACACUUUUAUUUAUAAUUCGAAAAACAAACCACAAAAUGUUUAAACAUUUUCUAUUGAGUGAAAAUUAUAUAUUAUAUUACAUGUUAGGAUUUGGUUUAAUUUAUUUAAUUGACUAUUCAUAUACCAUAAUAACAAACAUUUGUAGAGAAUUAAACAUUACCUUUUUGUUUAAUAAGAGUAAAAGAGGUUAA
RNAcentral lists this long non-coding RNA (629 nucleotides) under Piliocolobus tephrosceles (Ugandan red Colobus). Its description in RNAcentral is "lncRNA (ENSPTEG00000026707.1)". Lineage: Eukaryota; Metazoa; Chordata; Mammalia; Primates; Cercopithecidae. The record is from RNAcentral.